Molecule: ribosomal RNA, 231 nt
Filed under: Salmonella enterica subsp. enterica serovar Elomrane
Lineage: Bacteria; Pseudomonadati; Pseudomonadota; Gammaproteobacteria; Enterobacterales; Enterobacteriaceae
Description: partial 16S ribosomal RNA
Rfam family: Bacterial small subunit ribosomal RNA
Source: RNAcentral
ACUCCAUGAAGUCGGAAUCGCUAGUAAUCGUGGAUCAGAAUGCCACGGUGAAUACGUUCCCGGGCCUUGUACACACCGCCCGUCACACCAUGGGAGUGGGUUGCAAAAGAAGUAGGUAGCUUAACCUCCGGGAGGGCGCUUACCACUUUGUGAUUCAUGACUGGGGUGAAGUCGUAACAAGGUAACCGUAGGGGAACCUGCGGUUGGAUCACCUCCUUACCUGAAAGAAGC